This 542-nucleotide ribosomal RNA is filed under the name uncultured bacterium. RNAcentral describes it as "bacterial SSU rRNA". It matches the Rfam family "Bacterial small subunit ribosomal RNA", at positions 8 to 526 of the family's 1533-position model. The record is from RNAcentral.
AGAGUUUGAUCCUGGCUCAGAAUCAACGCUGGCGGCGUGCCUCAGACAUGCAAGUCGAACGCUGUUGGUUGCCCUUCGGGGCGGCCAGCAGAGUGGCGCACGGGUGAGUAACACGUAGGUAAUUUGCCUUCGGGUGGGGAAUAACAGCCGGAAACGGCUGCUAAUACCGCAUAAUGCAGCGGCACCACAUGGUGACAGUUGUUAAAGCGGGGGAUCGUAAGACCUCGCGCCUGAAGAGAAGCCUGCGGCGGAUUAGCUAGUUGGUAGGGUAACGGCCUACCAAGGCGACGAUCCGUAGCCGGCCUGAGAGGGCGGUCGGCCACACUGACACUGACAUACGGGUCAGACUCCUACGGGAGGCAGCAGUCGGGAAUUUUGGGCAAUGGGCGCAAGCCUGACCCAGCAACGCCGCGUGAAGGACGCAGUUUUUCGGAAUGUAAACUUCACAAGAAUGGGAAGAAUAAGAGAGGGCUAAUACUCCUCUCGAUGACGGUACCAUUUGUAAGCUCCGGCUAACUCCGUGCCAGCCGCGGCGGUAAUAC